RNAcentral lists this ribosomal RNA (444 nucleotides) under Triticum aestivum (bread wheat). Its description in RNAcentral is "partial small subunit ribosomal RNA". The record is from RNAcentral. Lineage: Eukaryota; Viridiplantae; Streptophyta; Magnoliopsida; Poales; Poaceae.
AUGGAGAUGAUGGCAAGGCAUCGCGCUGCAGUGGCAGUGAGGAGGCCAUCGAUGAAGGUGGUGAUGACAAAAGCUGUCUACAAAAGUGGUGCAGGGAUGGGGGAUUUGGGGUGGCGAGGGAUGGGAAGGUGGAUAAUGACCAUCGGAGGAGAUGGAGUAGUGGCGAGAUUAGACGAGGUCGCCUGCGGAGUGCGUGGGCAAAAUUUCCUUUCUGGGUUGGCCGGGGGCUUCCUUGUGUUUGUGUGCAUGCAUGAGUGGGCCUUAUUUCCAGCAUCAAUGGUGAACAUGCAUGGGCCAAACCAUUUUGUUUUGCAGAAGGGGAGGGGAGAAAACAAAAAAAAUCAGAGGGGGGAGGGGGAAGCGUACGUGGUGGGAGGGGUGGAAACCCUGGAAGCUGGGCUGGAAGGAUCAGGCUGUCAUGAAGUGAAGUUUAUUUGUUUAUAG